CUGAUCGGAUGUCCUUAGAGCGUCUGUAAAUAGAAAGACAGUAGCAAGAGGCUGAGGGAGGGACAGAGGAGGAGAGGCGGGGGAUAAUAAUGAUGAUGAUGAUGAUGAUGAUGAUGAUGAUGAUGAUGAGCCACAGUGACAGCAGCGUCUACUUCUGCCGCCUCUAUUGCGUCUGUCUGCAGUCAGGAAUUGACCGAGGACGCCGCGUCACUUUGACCCGACUGGGACAGUGAGAGACCGGCGUCAUUGAUCUGCUGAAGUCCUGCGAAACGGGCGCUGCGUGUCAGCGCGGGAACUUCUUUUUAAGACAAAAGUUUUUGCAUCGUUGUGGAGAAGGAGAAGUCCACGCUUGUUGGUUUGCUAGGGUUUUUGUUUUUGUUUUUGUUUUGUUUUGUUUGCUUCGGGAAUAUGAUCUGAGCCUGGAGGUGUAGCAGCCAAAUCCGUGGGGGAGAGACGUCAGAGAGGACCAGCGGACAUUACUUCCAAGAAAUUACUAAAGCAUUACUACAUAAUGGCUGGACACUUCAGUCGCUCCUGAAGCCUGAUGUGGCCGCUGCCCGGGUCGAGCAUGGAGCAUGAGCUGAGUACGGGUCUGUCUCUUUGGGCUAUCGCAGCCAUUGUUUGCAACUCCGUAGUGGGCCUGCUCAUCCUCAUCCUCUUCGUGGUCCUCUACAAAGCCUGCAAGGUGCCUUCACAUCAAGACAAAAUGCCAGUUUUUGCUGUCAGACUGGAUCAGACAAGGGCAGAGGAGAAGUACAUGCUGACUGCAGCCUGACCGAGGUCCUGAACAUGUCAACCCGAUGCAAGGACAAACGUCAAGUCACGAGGGUAGAGGUGGAGAAGUCUUCCCAGGCUUUUCUGUCUCCCCUCUCUCUCCAUUUGUGCUACAAAAACCGUGUAACAAUGCGCCACCAUCAUUCCCAUCUCGCCUGUGCCAUUUGGGGGAGCUCAGAGUAAGCAAACUGAGUUAAGAUUUGAGGCAAGACCAUAAGCAGCAACAACAAGCAAGGCCCAAAUCCUCUUAUCUCUGCUGUGCGUCGCUGGGACUGUCCAUCUGUCAGUCAGUUUGGCUCGCUCCACACAAGCAGAUCGCCAUCUCCUCCUCCUCCUCCUCCACCACGUCAGUCUUUUUCAUCUCGUCACGCAGGACGGCGGCGAGGAUGUGGAGGCGAAACAGCAAAAGUGCAAUGGAGUGGAAUAGAGGAGCCGGGGUUGAUAAGUCUGGCGGGUUGAAAAGCAGUGAAAUGUUUUUGAGAGCGAACGUUAAAAAUGUGACUCGUCCCCGAUCAGUUUUGCUGUAUGUUUUAGCUGCACCGCUAAUGAUGGAAGCAGCAGAGCAGCAAACGCACAACAGGUCGAGACCCACGGCUUAAAGCAGAAGACAGGGAGCGCAGAGACGUUACUGCAGGUCGUCUCUGAUCCACGACAGAUGGAGAUAAAGUUUGGUUUAUACUUUGGAGGAAAGGAGAUAAAAUUCAGGGGAAGAAUUGGAAAUAGGACACUUUGAUGUUUUGUUGACAGAAAAAGGAGCUCGAGGGCCCUGUUUGACAGUCUCUCCCUGAUCCAACCCCCACUGGAUUAAAAUCCUCUGCAGAAGUGCAACUUACAACACCGUUUCUUUUGUUCUGCCGUGCCUUCUUCUCUUUUUUUUUCCUCCUCAGCUCCAACGAAGGCGGAGGACUAUUCUUACAGACAGGCAUCAUCAGUGUUGACUGGGGGGAAAAAAA
Long non-coding RNA from Poecilia latipinna (sailfin molly), 1727 nucleotides. RefSeq lists it as uncharacterized. The record is from RefSeq and is a predicted model, not a curated record. Lineage: Eukaryota; Metazoa; Chordata; Actinopteri; Cyprinodontiformes; Poeciliidae. The transcript is spliced from 2 exons.